This 329-nucleotide ribosomal RNA is filed under the name uncultured bacterium. RNAcentral's name for it is "partial 16S ribosomal RNA". It matches the Rfam family "Bacterial small subunit ribosomal RNA", at positions 1197 to 1531 of the family's 1533-position model. The record is from RNAcentral.
GACGCAUUAGAGUGGGCUACACACGUGCUACGUGGCGUAUCAGGGAGCGACCCCGCGAGGGCAAGCGGAACUCAUAAAGUACGUCGUAUUCCGGAUUGGAGUCUGCAACUCGACUCCUUGAAGUCGGAAUCGCUAGUAAUCGUAAAUCAAAAUGCUACGGUGAAUACGUUCCCGGGCCUUGUACACACCGCCCGUCACACCAUGGGAGUGGGUUGCAAAAGAAGUAGGUAGCUUAACCUUAGGGAGGGCGCUUACCACUUUGUGAUUCAUGACUGGGGUGAAGUCGUAACAAGGUAACCGUAGGGGAACCUGCGGUUGGAUCACCUCCU